This 2372-nucleotide ribosomal RNA is filed under the name Bacillus cereus str. Schrouff. Its description in RNAcentral is "bacterial LSU rRNA". It matches the Rfam family "Bacterial large subunit ribosomal RNA", at positions 545 to 2925 of the family's 2925-position model. Lineage: Bacteria; Bacillati; Bacillota; Bacilli; Caryophanales; Bacillaceae. The record is from RNAcentral.
AGAUCCUGAAACCGUGUGCCUACAAAUAGUCAGAGCCCGUUAAUGGGUGAUGGCGUGCCUUUUGUAGAAUGAACCGGCGAGUUACGAUCCCGUGCGAGGUUAAGCUGAAGAGGCGGAGCCGCAGCGAAAGCGAGUCUGAAUAGGGCGUUUAGUACGUGGUCGUAGACCCGAAACCAGGUGAUCUACCCAUGUCCAGGGUGAAGUUCAGGUAACACUGAAUGGAGGCCCGAACCCACGCACGUUGAAAAGUGCGGGGAUGAGGUGUGGGUAGCGGAGAAAUUCCAAUCGAACCUGGAGAUAGCUGGUUCUCCCCGAAAUAGCUUUAGGGCUAGCCUUAAGUGUAAGAGUCUUGGAGGUAGAGCACUGAUUGAACUAGGGGUCCUCAUCGGAUUACCGAAUUCAGUCAAACUCCGAAUGCCAAUGACUUAUCCUUAGGAGUCAGACUGCGAGUGAUAAGAUCCGUAGUCAAGAGGGAAACAGCCCAGAUCGCCAGCUAAGGUCCCAAAGUGUGUAUUAAGUGGAAAAGGAUGUGGAGUUGCUUAGACAACUAGGAUGUUGGCUUAGAAGCAGCCACCAUUUAAAGAGUGCGUAAUAGCUCACUAGUCGAGUGACUCUGCGCCGAAAAUGUACCGGGGCUAAAUACACCACCGAAGCUGCGAAUUGAUACCAAUGGUAUCAGUGGUAGGGGAGCGUUCUAAGUGCAGUGAAGUCAGACCGGAAGGACUGGUGGAGCGCUUAGAAGUGAGAAUGCCGGUAUGAGUAGCGAAAGACGGGUGAGAAUCCCGUCCACCGAAUGCCUAAGGUUUCCUGAGGAAGGCUCGUCCGCUCAGGGUUAGUCAGGACCUAAGCCGAGGCCGACAGGCGUAGGCGAUGGACAACAGGUUGAUAUUCCUGUACCACCUCUUUAUCGUUUGAGCAAUGGAGGGACGCAGAAGGAUAGAAGAAGCGUGCGAUUGGUUGUGCACGUCCAAGCAGUUAGGCUGAUAAGUAGGCAAAUCCGCUUAUCGUGAAGGCUGAGCUGUGAUGGGGAAGCUCCUUAUGGAGCGAAGUCUUUGAUUCCCCGCUGCCAAGAAAAGCUUCUAGCGAGAUAAAAGGUGCCUGUACCGCAAACCGACACAGGUAGGCGAGGAGAGAAUCCUAAGGUGUGCGAGAGAACUCUGGUUAAGGAACUCGGCAAAAUGACCCCGUAACUUCGGGAGAAGGGGUGCUUUCUUAACGGAAAGCCGCAGUGAAUAGGCCCAAGCGACUGUUUAGCAAAAACACAGCUCUCUGCGAAGCCGUAAGGCGAAGUAUAGGGGGUGACACCUGCCCGGUGCUGGAAGGUUAAGGAGAGGGGUUAGCGUAAGCGAAGCUCUGAACUGAAGCCCCAGUAAACGGCGGCCGUAACUAUAACGGUCCUAAGGUAGCGAAAUUCCUUGUCGGGUAAGUUCCGACCCGCACGAAAGGUGUAACGAUUUGGGCACUGUCUCAACCAGAGACUCGGUGAAAUUAUAGUACCUGUGAAGAUGCAGGUUACCCGCGACAGGACGGAAAGACCCCGUGGAGCUUUACUGUAGCCUGAUAUUGAAUUUUGGUACAGUUUGUACAGGAUAGGCGGGAGCCAUUGAAACCGGAGCGCUAGCUUCGGUGGAGGCGCUGGUGGGAUACCGCCCUGACUGUAUUGAAAUUCUAACCUACGGGUCUUAUCGACCCGGGAGACAGUGUCAGGUGGGCAGUUUGACUGGGGCGGUCGCCUCCUAAAGUGUAACGGAGGCGCCCAAAGGUUCCCUCAGAAUGGUUGGAAAUCAUUCGUAGAGUGCAAAGGCAUAAGGGAGCUUGACUGCGAGACCUACAAGUCGAGCAGGGACGAAAGUCGGGCUUAGUGAUCCGGUGGUUCCGCAUGGAAGGGCCAUCGCUCAACGGAUAAAAGCUACCCCGGGGAUAACAGGCUUAUCUCCCCCAAGAGUCCACAUCGACGGGGAGGUUUGGCACCUCGAUGUCGGCUCAUCGCAUCCUGGGGCUGUAGUCGGUCCCAAGGGUUGGGCUGUUCGCCCAUUAAAGCGGUACGCGAGCUGGGUUCAGAACGUCGUGAGACAGUUCGGUCCCUAUCCGUCGUGGGCGUAGGAAAUUUGAGAGGAGCUGUCCUUAGUACGAGAGGACCGGGAUGGACGCACCGCUGGUGUACCAGUUGUUCUGCCAAGGGCAUAGCUGGGUAGCUAUGUGCGGAAGGGAUAAGUGCUGAAAGCAUCUAAGCAUGAAGCCCCCCUCAAGAUGAGAUUUCCCAUAGCGUAAGCUAGUAAGAUCCCUGAAAGAUGAUCAGGUUGAUAGGUUCGAGGUGGAAGCAUGGUGACAUGUGGAGCUGACGAAUACUAAUAGAUCGAGGACUUAACCAU